Long non-coding RNA from Motacilla alba alba, 1990 nucleotides. RefSeq lists it as uncharacterized. NCBI's taxonomy places the organism in Eukaryota, Metazoa, Chordata, Aves, Passeriformes, Motacillidae. The record is from RefSeq and is a predicted model, not a curated record. The transcript has 2 exons.
GGGGACGGCUCCAUCCUCCGCUCCGCGGCGGGGUCCAUCCCCGCCGGGCUCCCCGCCGGCAGCGGCUCCAGGAGCUCGGCGCAGCGGCUGGGGGAGGCAGCCGGGCUGGCGGGGCUGGAGCGCGGCGGCCCGGGCAGCAUUUCCUGGCAGCCGGCGAGGGGCCAGGAGGAGCGGAGCGCCCGCGGUGCCUCGCUGCGUGCAGCCGAGGAAUCGCCUCUCCAAUGUGCCCCAGCUCACCUGGUCGUCCCUCUCUGGAGUCAGUAGGAAAUUAAAUGCACAUCCUCGAUCGUAGCCUCCGCGCGUCCUUCUUCGGGCUGCCCUCAGUUGGCCGGCGCCGCUCCCCCCAUCCUCAGGUACUUCUCCAUUUCUGCAAACGACGGAGAAGCAGCGUUAAUGUCUCGGAGCGCAGCCGUCUCCAUGUGUGCGUAGGAAUGCACAUGUAGAUGAGGUUAUACCCUGCCACGCACACCUACCGCUGCGGCUGUUUCCUGAGAGACUGCGAGAGAGAAGAAAGGCAGGAGACAUCACAUGACCAGAACCUUGGGAGGUUCAAGUAAAUUUUCUACUUGUCGGGAUUUUCGCUCGACCGCAUUGGGACGGUUUGCUUUUUGAUCUGAGAUGAGAAAAGGAAAACUGAAUAUUGCUAUGCGUACAAGGUUGUUUUCAGGAUGGUAUGGUUUUUAGAUAAAGUAGAAGUCACACAGUUCAAAGCACUUAAGCUGAAUACUUCAUGCUUAUUUCUCAGAAUUUGGUGUAACAUCCAAGUGUAACAUUAACUAAGCGUCUCAACAAUGAUUAUUAGUUUGGUCAGUUGGCUGGGAUCAGUGAUUUGAUCUGAAGCACUAGUUGGGUGAGAAUUACCUUCUAACAGAAGCAGAUUCUUUCUUGCCUUACAUACAUGAUCAGAGGCUAACCUAAAUGUAGGGUCUUUGCUGGAGGAUGUGAUGAGGAGAUAGGAAGAGGUUUUUCCCUCUAGACAAAAGCCUGAGUACAUUCUUUGUACUCUAUAUACUUGCAGAAUAAUAUCAGUAGGUAAGGCCUUGAGGUCACACUGAGUGAAUUGUCUAGGUGGUCUGUCAAGAUGCCGCACUAGAACUGUCCUUGUGCAAGUUUUUCAGUGAAGGAUGCUGUGAGAAGGUCAGUUGCCUUCAUUGUCAUCUUGCAAGUAUGGUUUCUAUGGGAUUAGCAGUUCAUCUAAUACUCUCUUGUAAUGUACAACUCAGAGAUACAAAAUAAAUCUGAGUUUCAUAAAGGUAGCAUUUGACACUUAAAGCCUCAGUAGACCAAGACACCCUGACAAAGUGAGACUGUUACUCAUGGGAAUGAGAUAACAAAGUAUCCACUUUGUAGACACAGCAUGAAAUUAGUUCCAUGCAAAUCAUUGCACUAUUACAUCUUUUCAAAUUUCCUCUCUGCCAUAAAAUCCCAUUUACAGAAAAAAAAAAAAAAAGAAAAAAAGAAAACAACCACACAAACCUCUAUGCUUUUAAGGACAUCUAAACAGAACAAGAAGAUGACUUUAGGUAUUUUAUAAAUGCUCAUCAAAUGGAAGAGGAAUAUCCCUUUGAAUAGCAGUUGGUUGGAAUAGAAUACAGAGAAGAAGAAGAUCUUCAAUAAAAGUAAAUCUAAGAGGGAAGGGUGUACACAGUAUGUGUGACAGUUCUGGGUACAGCUCUCUCAGGGUGUAAAGGCUCCAACAAGGGAAAAGGAAACAGGAAAUUCAAGGAAAAUGUCAGAGUGGCAGUGGAGUACUGAGGAAUGUCCAUGUCACUAAGGUGAAAUGUUUUCUGGAAAGCAGCUAAGAACAGGGCAAAAUAUAAAAUACAGGGACAGUGGGAGGCACCACUGUAAGAAAUAGCUAAAAGGAGACAGGUGCUGGAAAACCCUUGCUAUUCUGUCAUUUAAAAAUGCAUGGCAUGCCUUAUAAUGGUUGUUUAUCCUUUGAUUACUGGCUGAAUUUCAAUUCUAAUAAAUUACAUCCUGCCUAUAA